This 508-nucleotide ribosomal RNA is filed under the name Tanaoa pustulosus. RNAcentral describes it as "partial large subunit ribosomal RNA". It matches the Rfam family "Archaeal large subunit ribosomal RNA", at positions 1919 to 2662 of the family's 2987-position model. Lineage: Eukaryota; Metazoa; Arthropoda; Malacostraca; Decapoda; Leucosiidae. The record is from RNAcentral.
GUCUUCUUGAAGUUAUAAGAAGUCUAGCCUGCUCACUGAUAAAUAAUAUUAAAGAGCUGCGGUAUUUUGACCGUACAAAGGUAGCAUAAUCAUUAGUUUUUUAAUUGAAAACUUGUAUGAAGGGCUGGACAAAACAAAAGCUGUCUCUGUUAUAGAAGCAGAAUUUAACUUUUAGGUGAAAAGGCCUAAAUAAGUCAAAGGGACGAUAAGACCCUAUAAGCUUUACAUCUAAAAUUAUAAAAUUUGAAAAUUAAUUUAAAUAAAAAUUUUAAUAAGAUGUUUGGUUGGGGCGGCAAGAAUAAAAUUUUUAUUAACUAUUCGUAAGUAAAACACAAAUAUGUGAGAAUAAUAGAUCCUUAUUAAAGAAUAAAAGAAAAGUUACUUUAGGGAUAACAGCGUUAUUCUUUUUGAGAGCCCAUAUCGAAAAAAGAGAUUACGACCUCGAUGUUGAAUUAAAAAUUCUGUAUAGCGCAGCUGCUUUAAAAGAAGGUCUGUUCGACCUUUAAAU